UUUUAAAACUAUAUAUAAAAUAUUUUUAAAUAACUUUAAAAUAAAUUAUAUAUACAAAAUGUACAACAAUUAUAACACCCCACAUCGAUUUAUCUAGAAUAUCGAUAAGAGUAUACAUAACUGAAUCAGGAAACAUUAAAUUUUCAUCACAUAUUGUCCGAAUACAUAAAUAGGAUUACAAAAUCCAAGAGAUUAAUACUAAAUUGAGCUAACAACUGAAAACAUAAAGAAACUAAAUCAUAUACAAAUAUAAGAUAACAUGACGUCAGCUCAACUAGCAUAAUCCAAGUAUCUGAACUCCAUGCU
Molecule: long non-coding RNA, 306 nt
Filed under: Trifolium pratense (red clover)
Lineage: Eukaryota; Viridiplantae; Streptophyta; Magnoliopsida; Fabales; Fabaceae
Description: long non-coding RNA (TPRA_LNC013593)
Source: RNAcentral